This 434-nucleotide ribosomal RNA is filed under the name Flavobacterium sp. WB1.1-2. Its description in RNAcentral is "bacterial SSU rRNA". It matches the Rfam family "Bacterial small subunit ribosomal RNA", at positions 20 to 456 of the family's 1533-position model. The record is from RNAcentral. Lineage: Bacteria; Pseudomonadati; Bacteroidota; Flavobacteriia; Flavobacteriales; Flavobacteriaceae.
UGGCUCAGGAUGAACGCUAGCGGCAGGCUUAACACAUGCAAGUCGAGGGGUAGAAGUCUUCGGACUUUGAGACCGGCGCACGGGUGCGUAACGCGUAUGCAAUCUACCUUUUACAGAGGGAUAGCCCAGAGAAAUUUGGAUUAAUACCUCAUAGUAUAAUGACUCGGCAUCGAGAUAUUAUUAAAGUCACAACGGUAAAAGAUGAGCAUGCGUCCCAUUAGCUAGUUGGUAAGGUAACGGCUUACCAAGGCUACGAUGGGUAGGGGUCCUGAGAGGGAGAUCCCCCACACUGGUACUGAGACACGGACCAGACUCCUACGGGAGGCAGCAGUGAGGAAUAUUGGACAAUGGGCGCAAGCCUGAUCCAGCCAUGCCGCGUGCAGGAUGACGGUCCUAUGGAUUGUAAACUGCUUUUAUACGAGAAGAAACACUCC